UACAGAGGUCCCAAGCGUUGUUCGGAUUCAUUGGGCGUAAAGGGUGCGUAGGCGGCUCGGCAAAUCGGUCGUGGAAUCUCGACGCUUACCGUCGAAACGGCGGCCGAAAAUACCGGGCUCGAGGGCGUGAGGGGUCACUGGAACUCCUGGUGAAGCGGUGAAAUGCGUAGAUAUCAGGAGGAACGCCGGAGGCGAAAGCGAGUGACUGGCGCGUUCCUGACGCUGAGGUGCGAAAGCUAGGGGAGCAAACAGG
Molecule: ribosomal RNA, 253 nt
Filed under: uncultured bacterium
Lineage: Bacteria
Description: partial 16S ribosomal RNA
Rfam family: Bacterial small subunit ribosomal RNA
Source: RNAcentral